ACGAACGCUGGCGGCGUGCUUAACACAUGCAAGUCGAACGGAAUCCAUGGUGUAGCAAUACACCGGAAGAUUUAGUGGCGAACGGGUGAGGAUCACGUGAGAAACGUGCCCCAGACUCUGGGAUAACAAUUGGAAACGAUUGCUAAUACCGGAUGACGUCGGAGAAUCGCAUGAUUCACUGACGAAAGAUAUUUCGGUUUGGGAGCGUCUCGCGGCCUAUCAGCUUGUUGGUGGGGUAAUGGCCUACCAAGGCAACGACGGGUAGCUGGUCUGAGAGGAUGAUCAGCCACACUGGACUGAGACACGGCCCAGACUCCUACGGGAGGCAGCAGUGGGGAAUCUUGCGCAAUGGGCGAAAGCCUGACGCAGCAACGCCGCGUGCGGGAUGAAGGCCUUCGGGCUGUAAACCGCUUUCAGCAGGAACGAAAAUGACGGUACCUGCAGAAGAAGGAGCGGCCAACUACGUGCCAACACCCGCGGUGACACGUAGGCUCCAAGCGUUGUCCGGAUUUAUUGGGCCGUAAAGAGCUCGUAAGCGGGUGAGUAAGUCGGGUGUGAAAACUCUGGGCUUAACCCGGAGAC
RNAcentral lists this ribosomal RNA (582 nucleotides) under uncultured bacterium. RNAcentral describes it as "bacterial SSU rRNA". It matches the Rfam family "Bacterial small subunit ribosomal RNA", at positions 29 to 621 of the family's 1533-position model. The record is from RNAcentral.